RNAcentral lists this long non-coding RNA (461 nucleotides) under Ictidomys tridecemlineatus (thirteen-lined ground squirrel). RNAcentral describes it as "lncRNA (ENSSTOG00000032030.1)". Lineage: Eukaryota; Metazoa; Chordata; Mammalia; Rodentia; Sciuridae. The record is from RNAcentral.
AUCCUAGUCUCAGAGACGUGAACAAAGGAAUGCUUUGCUUUGUCCCACAGCAGGAACCACAGCUCCAUCGCCACCCCAGGCCACCAACAAGAUGACAGAAAAGAGUUCAGCGUUUCCCACUCUUCGUCUUGUCCUCGGGAACUACUGUGAUCUAGGGUCGCUGGCAGAGAGAGUCUGGGAUCAUCUGUCAGUUGGGUCCACGCGUGAAUCCAUUUGUUGCUUUUCACGGUUAAUUUCUUUCUCUAAUGAGCAGAUAUUUCCCUGGUGAAAUGUGUUUGAAGUACCUGACUGAGGCAGAAUAUCCACUUCAGUAUUGAAUUGUGCCUCGGUCUCCUCCAUCUGUGAAACAAUUAAACUGGCACCUACGUGGGUCACUCUUUCAUGCCUGUGAAGAUGGUGCAUGGACGGUGACCAGCACAGCGCUUGGUGUGGGGUAAAGCCUUCAUAGUAAGCUCAUCAUU